UACGUAAGGUCCGAGCGUUGUCCGGAAUCAUUGGGCGUAAAGGGUACGUAGGCGGAUAAGCAAGUUAGAAGUGAAAUCCUAUAGCUCAACUAUAGUAAGCUUUUAAAACUGCUCAUCUUGAGGUAUGGAAGGGAAAGUGGAAUUCCUAGUGUAGCGGUGAAAUGCGUAGAUAUUAGGAAGAAUACCGGUGGCGAAAGCGACUUUCCAGCCUUUUACUGACGCUGAGGUACGAAAGCGUGGGUAGCAAACAGG
RNAcentral lists this ribosomal RNA (252 nucleotides) under uncultured bacterium. RNAcentral's name for it is "partial 16S ribosomal RNA". It matches the Rfam family "Bacterial small subunit ribosomal RNA", at positions 524 to 776 of the family's 1533-position model. The record is from RNAcentral.